Molecule: ribosomal RNA, 254 nt
Filed under: uncultured bacterium
Lineage: Bacteria
Description: partial 16S ribosomal RNA
Rfam family: Bacterial small subunit ribosomal RNA
Source: RNAcentral
CACGUAGGGGCCAAGCGUUGUCCGGAUUUAUUGGGCGUAAAGAGCUCGUAGGCGGUUCGACAAGUCGGGUGUGAAAACUCCGGGCUCAACCCGGAGACGCCACCCGAUACUGUCGUGACUGGAGUCCGGUAGGGGAGUGGGGAAUUCCUGGUGUAGCGGUGAAAUGCGCAGAUAUCAGGAGGAACACCGGUGGCGAAGGCGGGUCUCUGGGCAACAACUGACGCUGAGGAGCGAAAGCGUGGGGAGCGAACAGG